UUUUAGGUCAAUGUACGGCCUUCAACACGGAGCCUUGGCUCAUACCGAACAACAAGCUAUAAAGGGCCCCAAAAUGACUAGUGUAAAACCAAUCAAACGGGAAACCAACGUUCUAAUCUAUAUAAAAAACGAGAAACGAGAAACACGUAUAAAUUACAUAAACAAACGACAACUACUGUACAUCAGAUUCCUGACUUAGGACAGGUGCAAACAUUUGAAACGGGAUUAAACGUUUUAAUGGUACUAAACCUUCUCCCUUUUUCUGAAACAAUAGCAUAACAUCACAACAUAGAAAAACACACGAUAAAAUAUCAAUUGGCA
Molecule: long non-coding RNA, 321 nt
Filed under: Mytilus galloprovincialis (Mediterranean mussel)
Lineage: Eukaryota; Metazoa; Mollusca; Bivalvia; Mytilida; Mytilidae
Source: RNAcentral